Molecule: long non-coding RNA, 290 nt
Filed under: Manihot esculenta (cassava)
Lineage: Eukaryota; Viridiplantae; Streptophyta; Magnoliopsida; Malpighiales; Euphorbiaceae
Description: long non-coding RNA (MESC_LNC010644)
Source: RNAcentral
CACAACUGAGUUCAAAUAAUCCAAUCACCUUUCAGACAGAAACAGAUCAAAUGAUUGAUUCUUAUUGUUUGGGUAAUGAAAUUACAACCCCUUCACUGCUGCCAUCUUAUAUAUAUAUAUAUAUAUAUAAAUAAAUUUCCACAAACAGCAGCAGAAAGAUAUAGCAGAGUUGCAGUUUAGAGAGAAGAAAAUGAAAUUUCCUGAAAUUAAUUUACGUUUUACAUACAAAGAGCAAUUUGUAGUACUACUACUGCAACCAGUAGUAGAAGACUGAAACUGUAGUAGCUAUG